GAUCCUGGCUCAGGACGAACGCUGGCGGCGUGCCUAAUACAUGCAGGUAGAACGCUGAAGGAGGAGCUUGCUCUUCUGGAUGAGUUGCGAACGGGUGAGUAACGCGUAGGUAACCUGCCUGGUAGCGGGGGAUAACUAUUGGAAACGAUAGCUAAUACCGCAUAACAUUGACUAUUGCAUGAUAGUCAAUUGAAAGGUGCAAAUGCACCACUACCAGAUGGACCUGCGUUG
RNAcentral lists this ribosomal RNA (231 nucleotides) under uncultured bacterium. Its description in RNAcentral is "partial 16S ribosomal RNA". It matches the Rfam family "Bacterial small subunit ribosomal RNA", at positions 15 to 238 of the family's 1533-position model. The record is from RNAcentral.